UACGAAGGGGGCUAGCGUUGUUCGGAAUUACUGGGCGUAAAGCGCGUGUAGGCGGGUCUUUAAGUCAGGGGUGAAAUGCCAAGGCUCAACCUUGGAACUGCCUUUGAUACUGGAGACCUUGAGUCCGGGAGAGGUGAGUGGAAUUGCGAGUGUAGAGGUGAAAUUCGUAGAUAUUCGCAAGAACACCAGUGGCGAAGGCGGCUUACUGGCCCGGUACUGACGCUGAGGUGCGAAAGCGUGGGGAGCAAACAGG
RNAcentral lists this ribosomal RNA (253 nucleotides) under uncultured bacterium. RNAcentral's name for it is "partial 16S ribosomal RNA". It matches the Rfam family "Bacterial small subunit ribosomal RNA", at positions 524 to 776 of the family's 1533-position model. The record is from RNAcentral.